This 393-nucleotide ribosomal RNA is filed under the name uncultured bacterium. RNAcentral describes it as "partial 16S ribosomal RNA". It matches the Rfam family "Bacterial small subunit ribosomal RNA", at positions 523 to 918 of the family's 1533-position model. The record is from RNAcentral.
CUACGGAGGAUGCGAGCGUUAUCCGGAUUUAUUGGGUUUAAAGGGUGCGUAGGCGGUUUAUCAAGUCAGCGGUGAAACGCAAGGGCUUAACCCUUGACCUGCCGUUGAAACUGGUGGACUGGAAUGCGGAUGCUGUGGGAGGAAUGUGUGGUGUAGCGGUGAAAUGCAUAGAUAUCACACAGAACACCGAUUGCGAAGGCAUCUCACAAAGCCGGUAUUGACACUGAGGCACGAAAGUGUGGGGAUCAAACAGGAUUAGAUACCCUGGUAGUCCUCACUGUAAACGAUGAUGACUCGCUGUCGGCGAUAUACAGUCGGUGGCCAAGCGAAAGCGAUAAGGCAUCCACCUGGGGAGUACGACCGCAAGGUUGAAACUCAAAGGAAUUGACGGGU